Molecule: ribosomal RNA, 493 nt
Filed under: uncultured bacterium
Lineage: Bacteria
Description: partial 16S ribosomal RNA
Rfam family: Bacterial small subunit ribosomal RNA
Source: RNAcentral
AUUGAACGCUGGCGGCAUGCUUUACACAUGCAAGUCGAACGGUAACAGGUUAAGCUGACGAGUGGCGAACGGGUGAGUAAUGCAUCGGAACGUGCCCGGUCGUGGGGGAUAACGCAGCGAAAGCUGCGCUAAUACCGCAUAAGAUCAGAGGAUGAAAGCGGGGGACCGGAAGGCCACGCGCGAUCGGAGCGGCCGAUGGCAGAUUAGGUAGUUGGUGGGGUAAAGGCUCACCAAGCCGACGAUCUGUAGCUGGUCUGAGAGGACGACCAGCCACACUGGGACUGAGACACGGCCCAGACUCCUACGGGAGGCAGCAGUGGGGAAUUUUGGACAAUGGGCGCAAGCCUGAUCCAGCAAUGCCGCGUGCAGGAAGAAGGCCUUCGGGUUGUAAACUGCUUUUGUACGGAGCGAAAAGGCUCUCUCUAAUACAGGGGGCUCAUGACGGUACCGUAAGAAUAAGCACCGGCUAACUACGUGCCAGCAGCCGCCGCGG